RNAcentral lists this ribosomal RNA (372 nucleotides) under uncultured organism. RNAcentral's name for it is "partial 16S ribosomal RNA". It matches the Rfam family "Bacterial small subunit ribosomal RNA", at positions 527 to 896 of the family's 1533-position model. The record is from RNAcentral.
GGAGGGUGCGAGCGUUAAUCGGAAUUACUGGGCGUAAAGCGCGCGCAGGCGGCUGGGUCAGUCGGAUGUGAAAGCCCCCGGGGCUUAACCUGGGAAUUGCAUUCGAUACUGCCUGGCUAGAGUAUGGGAGAGGGAAGUGGAAUUUCCGGUGUAGCGGUGAAAUGCGUAGAUAUCGGAAGGAACACCAGUGGCGAAGGCGGCUUCCUGGCCCAAUACUGACGCUCAGGUGCGAAAGCGUGGGGAGCAAACAGGAUUAGAUACCCUGGUAGUCCACGCUGUAAACGAUGAGAACUAGAUGUUGGGAGGGUUAGCCUCUCAGUGUCGCAGCUAACGCGUUAAGUUCUCCGCCUGGGGAGUACGACCGCAAGGUUG